Molecule: non-coding RNA, 491 nt
Organism: Cinara cedri
Lineage: Eukaryota; Metazoa; Arthropoda; Insecta; Hemiptera; Aphididae
Source: the annotation of a GenBank genome assembly
CCGCGCCGUGCGAUCGCAAUAUUAUUUCGUAGUGCACGCGUACGAGCUUUUGGUCCGCGCGCGAGUUUUCGUAUCCCCCCGGUAUCGCGAGCUAUAACGUUGUUAUAACCGCGGGCGCAAGUUAUUCCGCGCGGCACGGGGCUUUUCGGUUUUUGACACGUUGACGCAAGCUCACGGAAUUUCCGUAAUUCGGCACUACAUAUAUAUAUAAUAUAUAUACGUAUAUACAUCCUUUGUACCGCGACACGCACAUUUCUUAGGUAUACCAAACGAAUAACAUAAUAACAGUGUAAUAUUCGUGGUUAAUACCGCGGCGACCGUGUGCGCGCUGGCGCCAGCCACCACGCUCGCUGUCGUUAUUUUGUUUUUGAAUUUUUUUUUUUUUUUGAAUACGUCUUGUAUAUACCCAGGCGGUACUUGCAUCACGAUUUGUUUUUGCGUCUUUCGCAUUUCUCAUAAUAUAUUAAAUACUAAAUACUGAUACAUACACA